RNAcentral lists this ribosomal RNA (253 nucleotides) under uncultured bacterium. RNAcentral describes it as "partial 16S ribosomal RNA". It matches the Rfam family "Bacterial small subunit ribosomal RNA", at positions 524 to 776 of the family's 1533-position model. The record is from RNAcentral.
UACAGAGGGGGCAAGCGUUGUUCGGAAUUACUGGGCGUAAAGGGCGCGUAGGUGGCCUUCUAAGUUGAACGUGAAAUCCCUGGGCUCAACCCAGGAACUGCACUCGAAACUUCUUUUCUUGAGUGCCGGAGAGGAAAGCGGAAUACCUGGUGUAGAGGUGAAAUUCGUAGAUAUCAGGUGGAACACCAGUGGCGAAGGCGGCUUUCUGGACGGUAACUGACGCUGAGACGCGAAAGCGUGGGGAGCAAACAGG